This is a small nucleolar RNA of Rana temporaria (common frog), 72 nucleotides long. Lineage: Eukaryota; Metazoa; Chordata; Amphibia; Anura; Ranidae. The record is from RefSeq and is a predicted model, not a curated record.
GGUACAGAUGAUGUUUUCAUAGCGAUCAAAGACUGAUAUUUCAUGAUUGCACUUUUUUCUUACUGAUGUACC